AUUGUUUCUUGGCCUUUUGGCUGAGAUCAAGGGUAAUAUCAGUUCUUACCAGUUUAAAAUGCUGAAAUUUUAAAGACAGUCUAUCAAAGCCACUGUAAUACUGAACUAUA
Small nuclear RNA from Cavia porcellus (domestic guinea pig), 110 nucleotides. It matches the Rfam family "U2 spliceosomal RNA". Rfam says of the family: U2 is a small nuclear RNA (snRNA) component of the spliceosome (involved in pre-mRNA splicing). Complementary binding between U2 snRNA (in an area lying towards the 5' end but 3' to hairpin I) and the branchpoint sequence (BPS) of the intron results the bulging out of an unpaired adenosine, on the BPS, which initiates a nucleophilic attack at the intronic 5' splice site, thus starting the first of two transesterification reactions that mediate splicing. The record is from Rfam. Lineage: Eukaryota; Metazoa; Chordata; Mammalia; Rodentia; Caviidae.